GUCCUUAUUGAUGACGGUGAGAUGGCAUCUUACAUACUUAAUGGUCUUGAUUUCGAAUAUAAUCCAUUUGUGUCCUCGAUGCUUGGCCGUGCCGAUUCCCUCUCUCUUUCCGAUCUAUACUCUCAUCUGUUGUCUUAUGAGA
Small nucleolar RNA from Setaria italica (foxtail millet), 142 nucleotides. It matches the Rfam family "Small nucleolar RNA Z247". From Rfam's summary of the family: Z247 is a member of the C/D class of snoRNA which contain the C (UGAUGA) and D (CUGA) box motifs. Most of the members of the box C/D family function in directing site-specific 2'-O-methylation of substrate RNAs. The record is from Rfam. NCBI's taxonomy places the organism in Eukaryota, Viridiplantae, Streptophyta, Magnoliopsida, Poales, Poaceae.